AGUGAACGCUGGCGGUAGGCCUAACACAUGCAAGUCGAACGGCAGCACAGUAAGAGCUUGCUCUUACGGGUGGCGAGUGGCGGACGGGUGAGGAAUACAUCGGAAUCUACUUUUUCGUGGGGGAUAACGUAGGGAAACUUACGCUAAUACCGCAUACGACCUACGGGUGAAAGCAGGGGAUCUUCGGACCUUGCGCGAUUGAAUGAGCCGAUGUCGGAUUAGCUAGUUGGCGGGGUAAAGGCCCACCAAGGCGACGAUCCGUAGCUGGUCUGAGAGGAUGAUCAGCCACACUGGGACUGAGACACGGUCCAGACUCCUACGGGAGGCAGCAGUGGGGAAUAUUGGACAAUGGGCGGAAGCCUGAUCCAGCCAUACCGCGUGGGUGAAGAAGGCCUUCGGGUUGUAAAGCUCUUUUGUUGGGAAAGAAAAGCAGCAGGUGAAUACCCCGCUGUUCUGACGGUACCCAAAGAAUAAGCACCGGCUAACUUCGUG
RNAcentral lists this ribosomal RNA (492 nucleotides) under uncultured bacterium. Its description in RNAcentral is "partial 16S ribosomal RNA". It matches the Rfam family "Bacterial small subunit ribosomal RNA", at positions 29 to 507 of the family's 1533-position model. The record is from RNAcentral.